Molecule: non-coding RNA, 74 nt
Organism: Parelaphostrongylus tenuis
Lineage: Eukaryota; Metazoa; Nematoda; Chromadorea; Rhabditida; Metastrongylidae
Source: the annotation of a GenBank genome assembly
UCGUCAUUAGUGCAAACGGUUCAGCACGCCCUCUCGGAAAGAGUGAGAUCUGGGUUCAAAUCUCAGCUGACGAA